This 1543-nucleotide ribosomal RNA is filed under the name Lactiplantibacillus plantarum. Its description in RNAcentral is "partial 16S ribosomal RNA". It matches the Rfam family "Bacterial small subunit ribosomal RNA". Lineage: Bacteria; Bacillati; Bacillota; Bacilli; Lactobacillales; Lactobacillaceae. The record is from RNAcentral.
UCGCUCAGGACGAACGCUGGCGGCGUGCCUAAUACAUGCAAGUCGAACGAACUCUGGUAUUGAUUGGUGCUUGCAUCAUGAUUUACAUUUGAGUGAGUGGCGAACUGGUGAGUAACACGUGGGAAACCUGCCCAGAAGCGGGGGAUAACACCUGGAAACAGAUGCUAAUACCGCAUAACAACUUGGACCGCAUGGUCCGAGUUUGAAAGAUGGCUUCGGCUAUCACUUUUGGAUGGUCCCGCGGCGUAUUAGCUAGAUGGUGGGGUAACGGCUCACCAUGGCAAUGAUACGUAGCCGACCUGAGAGGGUAAUCGGCCACAUUGGGACUGAGACACGGCCCAAACUCCUACGGGAGGCAGCAGUAGGGAAUCUUCCACAAUGGACGAAAGUCUGAUGGAGCAACGCCGCGUGAGUGAAGAAGGGUUUCGGCUCGUAAAACUCUGUUGUUAAAGAAGAACAUAUCUGAGAGUAACUGUUCAGGUAUUGACGGUAUUUAACCAGAAAGCCACGGCUAACUACGUGCCAGCAGCCGCGGUAAUACGUAGGUGGCAAGCGUUGUCCGGAUUUAUUGGGCGUAAAGCGAGCGCAGGCGGUUUUUUAAGUCUGAUGUGAAAGCCUUCGGCUCAACCGAAGAAGUGCAUCGGAAACUGGGAAACUUGAGUGCAGAAGAGGACAGUGGAACUCCAUGUGUAGCGGUGAAAUGCGUAGAUAUAUGGAAGAACACCAGUGGCGAAGGCGGCUGUCUGGUCUGUAACUGACGCUGAGGCUCGAAAGUAUGGGUAGCAAACAGGAUUAGAUACCCUGGUAGUCCAUACCGUAAACGAUGAAUGCUAAGUGUUGGAGGGUUUCCGCCCUUCAGUGCUGCAGCUAACGCAUUAAGCAUUCCGCCUGGGGAGUACGGCCGCAAGGCUGAAACUCAAAGGAAUUGACGGGGGCCCGCACAAGCGGUGGAGCAUGUGGUUUAAUUCGAAGCUACGCGAAGAACCUUACCAGGUCUUGACAUACUAUGCAAAUCUAAGAGAUUAGACGUUCCCUUCGGGGACAUGGAUACAGGUGGUGCAUGGUUGUCGUCAGCUCGUGUCGUGAGAUGUUGGGUUAAGUCCCGCAACGAGCGCAACCCUUAUUAUCAGUUGCCAGCAUUAAGUUGGGCACUCUGGUGAGACUGCCGGUGACAAACCGGAGGAAGGUGGGGAUGACGUCAAAUCAUCAUGCCCCUUAUGACCUGGGCUACACACGUGCUACAAUGGAUGGUACAACGAGUUGCGAACUCGCGAGAGUAAGCUAAUCUCUUAAAGCCAUUCUCAGUUCGGAUUGUAGGCUGCAACUCGCCUACAUGAAGUCGGAAUCGCUAGUAAUCGCGGAUCAGCAUGCCGCGGUGAAUACGUUCCCGGGCCUUGUACACACCGCCCGUCACACCAUGAGAGUUUGUAACACCCAAAGUCGGUGGGGUAACCUUUUAGGAACCAGCCGCCUAAGGUGGGACAGAUGAUUAGGGUGAAGUCGUAACAAGGUAGCCGUAGGAGAACCUGCGGCUGGACACCUU